CGUGUGAAAGUGAAAGUUUCCGUUUAAAAAACGCGCUGAUGAGGUAAAAGUUUGACGGUCGGUUUAUUUUUCAGCGGCGGCAGGGUGCGGAUGUCGAUUGUCUGAAGAGGGACUCGAGCGGUGAAAGGGUUGAUUGAUGCUGACUCGACUGCUUUUAUCGCCACUUAUACGAUACUGAAAGUGACUGUCACUGUUGGAAUCAAAACAUUUUCUAUCUAUGUUGGAUUACGUCUAUGCAAUCGGCAGGAGUGACUUCACUCAUCAUCAGAUUACAAAACUUCUUCUAAUUUCUGCUACAUUCUGCUACAAAAGUCUUCGUAUCACAGGUAUAUAAAUAGCAUUUUUAAACUUAAAUUCCAAUCCUGACAUAAUUUCACAACUUUACAAAUUAUCAUUUGUUCCUCUGCAUCAUACCAUUACCAAUUAAUAGUUUCAAGUAGA
Long non-coding RNA from Bombus pascuorum, 441 nucleotides. RefSeq lists it as uncharacterized. The record is from RefSeq and is a predicted model, not a curated record. The transcript has 3 exons. Lineage: Eukaryota; Metazoa; Arthropoda; Insecta; Hymenoptera; Apidae.